RNAcentral lists this ribosomal RNA (274 nucleotides) under uncultured bacterium. Its description in RNAcentral is "partial 16S ribosomal RNA". It matches the Rfam family "Bacterial small subunit ribosomal RNA", at positions 523 to 796 of the family's 1533-position model. The record is from RNAcentral.
AUACGGAGGGUGCAAGCGUUACUCGGAAUCACUGGGCGUAAAGCGCGCGCAGGCGGCUAUUUAAGUUGGAUGUGAAAGCCUACGGCUCAACCGUAGAACUGCAUCCAAAACUAUUUAGCUAGAAUGUGGGAGAGGAAGAUGGAAUUAGUUGUGUAGGGGUAAAAUCCGUAGAGAUAACUAGGAAUACCAAAAGCGAAGGCAAUCUUCUGGAACACUACUGACGCUGAGGCGCGAAAGCGUGGGGAGCAAACAGUAGUAGAAACCCUAGUAGUCC